Molecule: long non-coding RNA, 1887 nt
Filed under: Lathyrus oleraceus (garden pea)
Lineage: Eukaryota; Viridiplantae; Streptophyta; Magnoliopsida; Fabales; Fabaceae
Description: Pisum sativum (pea) long non-coding RNA (PSAT_LNC003349)
Source: RNAcentral
GUUUAUACAUUGGAUACCCUUCCAUAAAAAACAAAUUUCAAAAUGUUCCAACGUCUCUCUCUAAUCCCACUACUCCACUGUCUGCUCCACUCCUAACCAACUUCCCCAUUCACUAUCCACUACCUCUCCUCUCUCUCUAAAGAAAAGAAAACGACAAAAAGAAAAAAAGAAUAAAAACACACUCAGAAAACUUUUUCCGGGGCCUCUCUCACAAAUUCACUCUCUCACUCUCAGAACGCUACUCUCUCUCACUGACUAUUCACCCUAAAAUUUCUCUCUCAAAAAACUCAGAAAAUUUCCUCUCACUCCCUCAACCCCAAAUCGCCGCCAUCCAUCACCGUUUCUCCUCCACGCCAUCUCACCGGCGAAACCCCACCUCCACAACUCAAUCCGCCGCCACUACCUUCCACCGUUCCUCAUUCACAAAUCAACCCUAAAACCCUUCACCAUCACGAAGUCCCCAACCUCGUCUUCACCACCAACAAUCGCCUCACCCUUCAACUCACCACCACCGUACACCUCCUCACCGUCAAAUCGCAACCCCACAAUCUUCAAUCGCCACCAUCCUCCGUCGAAAACCCACCGAAAAUCGCACACCGCCCUCAAAACCUCCGCCCUCAAUCAAACUUCCGUCAUCUUCCUCGCAUCACCACCCCCAAACCCAUCGUCGAAACCCGGUCGCCACCUCCACCUUCCAUCAAACCCUCUUUUUUAUAUUAACCUUCACUCAACAUCGCUGCCGGCAUCACAACAACACAAUCGGUUUUGUUUUAUGGUUCUAUUGGCUUUGAUUUUUUGCAGGUGCUGACAACAUCGGUUCAAAGACAUCACUAGCUCGUCAAGUUGUCGACACCAACAAACGAUUCCAAGCUGCUGCUGCUAUGACUUAAUUCUACUACAACUGUUAUUAUUACGGUAAAUCGAAGUUCUGUGUGUUUGAUUUCCGUCUUGUGAACAUUCUGUGGGUUGUAGAUUAAAAGUUAUAAUUAGGAGUCGGUUUUGUUAUACAUGUUAAACACAAGAUCCUCAUAACCGAAACCAGCCCGUAUUUCUUCUUGUUACACUUUUUUUUUGCUAUUACUUGAGUCUGUAAUAUAGUGUAUUUUGGUGGUCUGUCUUUGGAUUUGUUAGGGACUACUGAACUUGAUUGUGUGUUAAUUAUUUGAGUUUAUUUUUUAGCUCUGAGUGUUGUUAAUUUUGGUCUGAAAUCAUUAACCAAUGUCAUUACUGCUGGAUUUCAUCUGCAUCUUGUGAGGAAUUGCGUAGAAUUAUGAGGAAAGGUUGUAGUGAAAUUCUCGAGUGUUGUAGCAAUUUCUGUUGAGUUCCUUAAAUUAAUUAGAGUAGCAUGAUAAAACUGAGUUUUAAGUGAUAUGUUUUGAGUCGUAUUGUAUUCAUCUAAUGUGCCUUCCAAUUUCGAUGGCCACCUUGUUUCUGUUUUUAAUCUUUAACUGAUUAUUUUGUUUUGAGUUGACUCAAUGGGUAGUGUAAUAUAAUUGCAAAGACCUAUUUUCUAAAGUGUUUGUUUUAAGUUGGGUUAAGAGAAUUAUUGGUUUUUGGUUUAGAAGAUAAGUGAAUUCAAAGCCCAUUUUUUUUUGUAAUUACUACUUAUUUUUAUUUUUUCACUAAUUUUCGUUUCCUUUAUUUCUAUGUAAAAUAUAUGUAAACCGUUAUUACUAUAAACUUAAUUGAUUUUUUUUAAGCUAUUUACUUAAUUAUUGUUUUAAUAUUUCAUUUGUAAACUUAAAAUUAAUCGUUGAUUUAAUUCGUAAUUUUGUUUGAGCCAUCAUUUUCAUAUAUGUUUAAUUAAACUCAUUUGUGCAACUUUUAGGUCCGAAUAAAUCAUUUUCUAAGUCAUAUUUUCAUAAUCACUUUCAAUUUUAUUUCAUU